UGGUGCCUUCUUGUGGAUGUUCAGUGCAGGUACUCCAUAAAUUAAGGCACAAAAGAACAGAAAAAUGGCCUGGAAAAGGAAUUAAGGAGAGGUGCUUGGUAAUUGAGCAAGUCAGGGGGCAGUUGGGGACUCCUAUGAUUGGUACAGCAGGGAGCCAACACCCCCAUCAUCA
This is a long non-coding RNA of Dermochelys coriacea (leatherback sea turtle), 172 nucleotides long. RefSeq lists it as uncharacterized. Lineage: Eukaryota; Metazoa; Chordata; Testudines; Dermochelyidae. The record is from RefSeq and is a predicted model, not a curated record. The transcript is spliced from 3 exons.